Etheostoma spectabile (orangethroat darter) is the source of this 555-nucleotide long non-coding RNA. RefSeq lists it as uncharacterized. NCBI's taxonomy places the organism in Eukaryota, Metazoa, Chordata, Actinopteri, Perciformes, Percidae. The transcript has 3 exons. The record is from RefSeq and is a predicted model, not a curated record.
UACCUGCCCCCAUCAUCCAACUUCUUUUAUCCCCCAACCUUCACCCUUCCUCAAAUGUAUCCCAUUGCUGACACAAGGGCCACCCCUUGCUCUGACAGUCCCACUUCAGUGACUCUCCAUCAGCCGGAUAAUUAGCAGCUGGGGCCUUGUCAUCAGCUGUUGUGGGCCUGGAGGAGAGGGGUGGCUGGGCUGUGAAAGGCCAGGCUGCUCUGGCCAGUGUCUUGGCUACUAAAGGCUCCUCUUUUAGAGCUGGCAGGAAUCCUUGCCCCCUCCACCAGUGAUUCCCCCACCCCUUUGACCCCAUCUCCGCCCUGUCAACUAGUGGCUAGUUCAAACACUCAACCCUUCCAGCCAGACUGGGAUUGAGCGUUGACCCUCUGGCCCUCUGAGGAUUUAAAGCAGGUGCUCGCAUUCAGCAAACAGGACCUGCCUAAUUGGUGAAAAAGUCACAAGGAUGGGAAUGGUUGGGUCUCCUCUUGAGGUUGCAUAGGUGCCUUAACUUAAUUAAUGUAGAACUUUAAGUGUAUUUUUUGGAUUUUAAUUGUUGUAACACAA